CUGGCUGGGGCGGUGCCACCUCUUUCACUAUUUCAGCUCACUUGGUUUGGCUCCAAACUUGGCCCAAACCAGUCCGAACUUGGGCCUAAUUGGCCUCUACUUGGGUUAUAGGAUUAACACCUAAUCCUAACCCUAAUUAAUGUGCUAACUAUGAUUUUAAAGACAUUUUCUAAGCUAUUACAAAGUCCGCAAGUCAAGACUUCUUCUGGCGAGCUUCCGGCAAACUUCCGACGGUCUUCCGAUGAACUCUCGGAAACCAUUCUGCGGACUCCCG
This 274-nucleotide long non-coding RNA is filed under the name Musa acuminata (dwarf banana). Its description in RNAcentral is "long non-coding RNA (MACU_LNC008041)". Lineage: Eukaryota; Viridiplantae; Streptophyta; Magnoliopsida; Zingiberales; Musaceae. The record is from RNAcentral.